GAUGAACGCUGGCGGCGUGCUUAACACAUGCAAGUCGAACGAAGCAUUUGCGACAGAUUUUUUCGGAAUGAAGUUGCUUAUGACUGAGUGGCGGACGGGUGAGUAACGUGUGGGUAACCUGCCUUGUACUGGGGGAUAGCAGCUGGAAACGGCUGGUAAUACCGCAUAAGCGCACAAUGUUGCAUGACAUGGUGUGAAAAACUCCGGUGGUAUAAGAUGGACCCGCGUCUGAUUAGCUAGUUGGUGAGAUAACAGCCCACCAAGGCGACGAUCAGUAGCCGACCUGAGAGGGUGACCGGCCACAUUGGGACUGAGACACGGCCCAGACUCCUACGGGAGGCAGCAGUGGGGAAUAUUGCACAAUGGAGGAAACUCUGAUGCAGCGACGCCGCGUGAGUGAAGAAGUAAUUCGUUAUGUAAAGCUCUAUCAGCAGGGAAGAUAGUGACGGUACCUGACGAAGAAGCUCCGGCUAAAUACGUG
Molecule: ribosomal RNA, 481 nt
Filed under: uncultured bacterium
Lineage: Bacteria
Description: partial 16S ribosomal RNA
Rfam family: Bacterial small subunit ribosomal RNA
Source: RNAcentral